This 98-nucleotide transfer RNA is filed under the name Streptomyces violaceusniger. RNAcentral describes it as "tRNA-Trp". The record is from RNAcentral. Lineage: Bacteria; Bacillati; Actinomycetota; Actinomycetes; Kitasatosporales; Streptomycetaceae.
GGCGCGCCACCGCAGGCCGGUGAGUUGCGGGCGUUCCUCCAGCGGUCGCUGCCCGCGCAGAUGAUCCCGGCGGCGUUCGUGGCGCUGGACGCGCUGCC